CAGUAGCCGCGGUAAUACGGAGGAUCCGAGCGUUAUCCGGAUUUAUUGGGUUUAAAGGGUGCGUAGGCGGCCUUGUAAGUCAGGGGUGAAAGACGGUAGCUCAACUAUCGCAGUGCCUUUGAUACUGCAGGGCUUGAAUGUACUAGAGGCAGGCGGAAUGUGACAAGUAGCGGUGAAAUGCAUAGAUACGUCACAGAACACCAAUUGCGAAGGCAGCUUGCUAUGGUAUGAUUGACGCUGAGGCACGAAAGCGUGGGGAUCAAACAGGAUUAGAUACCCCCGUAGUCCCUGUCUCUUAUAC
This 301-nucleotide ribosomal RNA is filed under the name uncultured bacterium. RNAcentral describes it as "partial 16S ribosomal RNA". It matches the Rfam family "Bacterial small subunit ribosomal RNA", at positions 509 to 807 of the family's 1533-position model. The record is from RNAcentral.